RNAcentral lists this ribosomal RNA (482 nucleotides) under uncultured bacterium. Its description in RNAcentral is "partial 16S ribosomal RNA". It matches the Rfam family "Bacterial small subunit ribosomal RNA", at positions 30 to 507 of the family's 1533-position model. The record is from RNAcentral.
AUUGAACGCUGGCGGCAUGCUUUACACAUGCAAGUCGAACGGUAACAGGCCGCAAGGUGCUGACGAGUGGCGAACGGGUGAGUAAUGCAUCGGAACGUGCCCAGUCGUGGGGGAUAGCUACUCGAAAGAGUAGCUAAUACCGCAUACGAUCUAUGGAUGAAAGCGGGGGACCUUAAGGCCUCGCGCGAUUGGAGCGGCCGAUGUCAGAUUAGGUAGUUGGUGGGGUAAAGGCUCACCAAGCCAACGAUCUGUAGCUGGUCUGAGAGGACAACCAGCCACACUGGGACUGAGACACGGCCCAGACUCCUACGGGAGGCAGCAGUGGGGAAUUUUGGACAAUGGGCGCAAGCCUGAUCCAGCAAUGCCGCGUGCAGGAAGAAGGCCUUCGGGUUGUAAACUGCUUUUGUACGGAACGAAACGGCUCUGGUUAAUACCCGGGGCUAAUGACGGUACCGUAAGAAUAAGCACCGGCUAACUACGUG